GGAUGCGAUCAUAUCAGCACUAAAGCACCGGAUCCCAUCAGAACUCUGAAGUUAAGUGUGCUUGGGCGAGAGUAGUACUAGGAUGGGUGACCUCCUGGGAAGUCCUCGUGUUGCAUUCC
This 119-nucleotide ribosomal RNA is filed under the name Triticum aestivum (bread wheat). RNAcentral also lists the same sequence under 1 other name. The record is from RNAcentral. Lineage: Eukaryota; Viridiplantae; Streptophyta; Magnoliopsida; Poales; Poaceae.